UCUGCAACUCGACUCCAUGAAGCUGGAUUCGCUAGUAAUCGCGCAUCAGCCAUGGCGCGGUGAAUACGUUCCCGGGCCUUGUACACACCGCCCGUCAAGCCAUGGGAGCCGGGGGCGCCUGAAGUCCGGGACCGCGAGGACCGGCCUAGGGCGAAACUGGUAACUGGGGCUAAGUCGUAACAAGGUACC
RNAcentral lists this ribosomal RNA (189 nucleotides) under uncultured bacterium. RNAcentral describes it as "partial 16S ribosomal RNA". It matches the Rfam family "Bacterial small subunit ribosomal RNA", at positions 1304 to 1500 of the family's 1533-position model. The record is from RNAcentral.